AACAACACCCAAAGAGAAAACCAGCACAAAGUCCCCGGUUGUCUGCAGGGACAUUGGCUCAGUCUCCAUUAUCGUCAAGAUCUGGGGAAUACUCUGGUAACUCAGCUGGACCUCACAUGGGAGGAGUUGCAGCAGUAACCUCUCUUGGAUCGCAGAAGGACAAGUCAGCUGUUACCUCGCUUCCUGCCAUUGCUGGGACUGCUUCUGCCAAGCGGAGGUCAAAUUCGGUCCCAAAGAACUCUGCUAUGAGUGGAGUUGCCUCUCCUGCAAGUGUUGGUAACAUUAGUGGUUCAUUGAAUGCAAACAGUCCUACAGUUGGAACACAAUCUAUGGCUGAUCAUGCCAUUCUUGAAAGGUUUGCCAAGAUUGAGGUUGUCGCUUCAAGGUACAGUGUCCUGCAAGUACAACUGCUAUCUGCAAACUGAUCUUUUUUCCUGUAUUAAUGUUUGACUGAAUUUUUUCUGUUCCAGGCAUCAGCUUAGCCGUAAAAGGAAUAAACUAGAUGACUACCCAAGGAAGCAAAAUACGUAUAAUCCUCAGAAUAUUGCGGUUUGCCUAUCCAAUGCAGCGAAUUAUGAGGAUUUCAAAGAUGAAAUUAAAGAAAGGCAAUUAUCGAAGUCACUUGUUGGUGGCAACAUCAAUGUUCUCAAGAUAAGAGUUAUGAAUUUUAUGCAAGGUGAACGAGUGCUGCAAGGUUUGUUGAUGAAUCUACUCAAAAGUAUUAAAAAAAUUACACACUCAAAUUUAUUUAGUUACAUUUGUCACUAAGAGCUGCCUUAAUUCCCUAGGAAAUGUUGUGACUUAUGUCCCGAAGGCACGUGCUAGAAUGAUCAUGAUGGAGAAGUCGAAUGAUGGUACUGUGGCUAUGCAUUAUGGAGACUUAGAGGAUGGGGAUGUUCUCUCUGCUGAGGAAUAUCUUCCUACAUUGCCUAAUACUGUAAGUCUACUGAUGAGAUCGGAUUCCAAUAUAUUGUCGGCAUAGCUUAAAGAGCCAUGAUUUUAUGUUUCGGCUGAGUUUGUGUUUCUAUUAUUUUCAUGUUUGGCUCUGAUCCCCGAUAUUGUUUUUUUCUGCAGCAUUUUGCGGAUUUGCUCGCACAGCAGUUCUGUACAUUGGUAUGUUAGAAGAAUAGGCUUUCGAUUUUUGUAUGAUUUUCCUUUCCUCUUUCAUCAUCCACUCAGACUCGUUUUUGUUUCCCAACGCAGAUGAGUCGAGAUGGUUAUCUAGUGGAAAAUCACAUCGAACAGAAACCAACAAGGAUGAAUAAUACCUCAUCAGGCAGUCAACCUGGCGUAUUCCCCAACAAUGCAACAAUGGAGAUGCAGCAGCAGUACAACGAAUCCAUGGCGGGUCAGACCUCAAAUGAUGUGAAGCCCACUCUUAGUGGCAACCCUUCGGUAAAUUCGUCCCAGAACGCACCGGUAAAUGCAAGGAUGCUGCUUCCUGGGAACUCUCAGGCCUUACAGAUGCCGGUGCCUCCAAGACCGCAGCAACUGGACCCACAACAGUUACCAAUUUCACAGCAAUCACAGCAACAAAACCAGCAUGCUUUACUUCAACAACAGCAUCAUCAGCAUCAACAGCUUCAGAGGACACAAAUGGUGCUUCCACCAAACCCACUCUCCCAUUUGAACGCCAUGGGGCAAAAUCCGAACAUGCAAUCGGGUGGCCAUUCAGUUAAUAACAAACAUUCUCCACUCCAACUUUCCCAGCAACAACUGCAGCAGAGGAAAUUGAUGAUGGGGCUUGCGGGGCAACCGGGCAUGGGCAAUAUCGGAAAUAACAUGGCGGCGUAUGGAGGCUUGGCGAAUGCCAUGGGGAUCGGAGGAGCUGCAAGGGGAAUUGUCGCCGGUUCAGGAAUUUCUGGACCAAUGGCACCUAAUUCGGGUAAUGUUGGUGGUCAGAACCCAAACCAGAUGCUAAUGAGCCAGGGGAUUAACAUCGGUAACGCCUUAAGCCAGCAGUUUCGAUCCGGGAAGAUGAAUCAGCAACAGGCUGCCUUUUUGACAUCGCUCAGGAUGGCGAGUGCUCGAACAACCAUGCUCGGUGGCCCUCAGCCUGGAAUGUCUGGUGGUCGACAGAUUAAUCACACGAAUGCUGCCGGUCUGUCCAUGUUGGGACAAUGACGGAAUGCAGCAGUACCCCAAUGCAGGGAUUCAAAAGUAUCCACAGAUGUUUGAAGGGGUUUUGAAUCAGGGUGCUGGAACACCAUUUUCUGCUGGACAAUCGGCUUUGAGGUUUGGUCCAAAGGAAGAACUGUUUGAGUCAGAAAAGCUUGGUGGAUCUGAACUGAAUCAGGGAAAGAGUGAUAUGACAAUAGAGAACAAUUUGGUAAGUCUGGAUCCACAGCAGUUGCGCCUACAUCAAAGACUUCCACAACAUAUGAUGAGACCGAAUUUUCCCCAGACGGGAUGGAACAAUCUCAGCCAAGACACAAAGAAGGAAGAACAACAACACCCAAAGAGGAAACCAGCACAAAGUCCCCGUUUGUCUGCAGGGACAUUGGCUCAGUCUCCAUUAUCGUCAAGAUCUGGGGAAUACUCUGGUAACUCAGCUGGACCUCACAUGGGAGGAGUUGCAGCAGUAACCUCUCUUGGAUCGCAGAAGGACAAGUCCGCUGUUACCUCGCUUCCUGCCAUUGCUGGGACUGCUUCUGCCAAGCGGAGGUCAAAUUCGGUCCCAAAGAACUCUGCUAUGAGUGGAGUUGCCUCUCCUGCAAGUGUUGGUAACAUUAGUGGUUCAUUGAAUGCAAACAGUCCUACAGUUGGAACAC
This 2771-nucleotide long non-coding RNA is filed under the name Linum usitatissimum (flax). RNAcentral describes it as "long non-coding RNA (LUSI_LNC005605)". Lineage: Eukaryota; Viridiplantae; Streptophyta; Magnoliopsida; Malpighiales; Linaceae. The record is from RNAcentral.